Podarcis lilfordi (Lilford's wall lizard) is the source of this 97-nucleotide non-coding RNA. Lineage: Eukaryota; Metazoa; Chordata; Lepidosauria; Squamata; Lacertidae. The record is from the annotation of a GenBank genome assembly.
GCUCAUUUUGGCAGCACAAACUAAAAAUGGAAAGAUAGAAAGAAGAUCAGCAUGCCUGCUCAGGACUAGGAGAAACCUGGAAAUAUAUCAUCUGUCU